This 229-nucleotide ribosomal RNA is filed under the name uncultured bacterium. RNAcentral describes it as "partial 16S ribosomal RNA". It matches the Rfam family "Bacterial small subunit ribosomal RNA", at positions 108 to 339 of the family's 1533-position model. The record is from RNAcentral.
GAGUAACACGUGGGCAACCUGCCCCUGACUUCGGGAUAACGCUUCGAAAGAGGUGCUAAUACCGAAUAUGAACGCGAAGGACAUCCUUUGCGUUGGAAAGUUUUUCGGUUGAAGAUGACCUCGCGGCCUAUCAGCUUGUUGGUGAGGUAAUGGCUCACCAAGGCGACGACGGGUAGCCGGCCUGAGAGGGCGACCGGCCACACUGGGACUGAGACACGGCCCAGACUCC